RNAcentral lists this RNase P RNA (345 nucleotides) under Campylobacterales bacterium. RNAcentral describes it as "RNase P RNA component class A". It matches the Rfam family "Bacterial RNase P class A". From Rfam's summary of the family: Ribonuclease P (RNase P) is a ubiquitous endoribonuclease, found in archaea, bacteria and eukarya as well as chloroplasts and mitochondria. The record is from RNAcentral. Lineage: Bacteria; Pseudomonadati; Campylobacterota; Epsilonproteobacteria; Campylobacterales.
GUGGCAUAGCAGAUGGCUGCUUAGCUAGGCUAAGAGGAAAGUCCGAGCUGCAAUGAGGCAGGGUUCCACCUAACGGGUGGCCGACGAAGCCUUUUAGGAUAAGUCGAGGGAUAGUGCAACAGAAAAUAGACCGCCUAUUUAAUAAAAUAGGUAAGGGUGAAAAGGUGAGGUAAGAGCUCACCGCUUUUGUAGUAAUACAAAAGGCAGUGUAAACCCAACUCGCAGCAAGUUAGACCUGGUUAAAGCCUCAUAUAUUUGAGUCUAACGCAAGAGCUUUAUGGUGACAUAAAGCCAUAGAUAAAUAGCCAUCAAAUACAGAACUCGGCUUAUAGCUAUGCCAUCUUU